CGUACACUCCUGCGGGAGGCAGCAGUAGGGAAUCUUCCACAAUGGGUGCAAACCUGAUGGAGCAAUGCCGCGUGAGUGAAGAAGGUCUUCGGAUCGUAAAGCUCUGUUGUUAGAGAAGAACACGUGCUAGGUAACUACUAGCGCCUUGACGGUAUCUAACCAGAAAGUCACGGCUAACUACGUGCCAGCAGCCGCGGUAAUACGUAGGUGACAAGCGUUGUCCGGAUUUAUUGGGCGUAAAGGGAGCGCAGGCGGUCUGUUUAGUCUAAUGUGAAAGCCCACGGCUUAACCGUGGAACGGCAUUGGAAACUGACAGACUUGAAUGUAGUAGAGGAAAAUGGAAUUCCAAGUGUAGCGGUGGAAUGCGUAGAUAUUUGGAGGAACACCAGUGGCGAAGGCGAUUUUCUGGUCUAACAUUGACGCUGAGGCUCGAAAGCGUGGGGAGCGAACAGGAUUAGAUACCCGGGUAGUCCCAUGA
This 478-nucleotide ribosomal RNA is filed under the name uncultured organism. RNAcentral describes it as "partial 16S ribosomal RNA". It matches the Rfam family "Bacterial small subunit ribosomal RNA", at positions 330 to 800 of the family's 1533-position model. The record is from RNAcentral.